Molecule: transfer RNA, 67 nt
Filed under: Bos taurus (domestic cattle)
Lineage: Eukaryota; Metazoa; Chordata; Mammalia; Artiodactyla; Bovidae
Also listed under: 3 other names
Rfam family: tRNA
About the family: Transfer RNA (tRNA) molecules are approximately 80 nucleotides in length. Their secondary structure includes four short double-helical elements and three loops (D, anti-codon, and T loops).
Source: Rfam by way of RNAcentral
GGUAGAAUGAUUGAGCAAAGCAUUAGACUGUAAAUCUGAAGACAGAGUUUUAGUUCUUUUUUUACCA